CAAGAGCGUAUGUAAAAGUUGUUGCAGUUAAAAAGCUCGUAGUUGAACCUUGGGUUUGGUUGGCCGGUCCGCUUUUUUGCGAGUACUGGAUUCAACCGAGCCUUUCCUUCUGGCUAACCAGUCGUUUCGGCGGCUGGCGAACCAGGAUUUUUACUUUGAGAAAAUUAGAGUGUUCAAAGCAGGCAUUAGCUUGAAUAUAUUAGCAUGGAAUAAUAGAAUAGGACGUUAUGGUUCUAUUUUGAUGGUUUCUAGGACCAUCGUAAUGAUUAAUAGGGACGGUCGGGGGCAUCAGUAUUCAGUUGUCAGAGGUGAAAUUCUUGGAUUUACUGAAGACUAACUACUGCGAAAGCAUUUGCCAAGGACGUUUUCAUUAA
This 374-nucleotide ribosomal RNA is filed under the name uncultured eukaryote. Its description in RNAcentral is "partial 18S ribosomal RNA". It matches the Rfam family "Eukaryotic small subunit ribosomal RNA", at positions 592 to 976 of the family's 1831-position model. The record is from RNAcentral.